RNAcentral lists this non-coding RNA (46 nucleotides) under Trichobilharzia regenti. Lineage: Eukaryota; Metazoa; Platyhelminthes; Trematoda; Strigeidida; Schistosomatidae. The record is from RNAcentral.
AUCCAGCUGACGAGUCCCAAAUAGGACGGAAAUGUGCAUCCUGGAU